This 479-nucleotide long non-coding RNA is filed under the name Pan troglodytes (chimpanzee). RNAcentral's name for it is "lincRNA". Lineage: Eukaryota; Metazoa; Chordata; Mammalia; Primates; Hominidae. The record is from RNAcentral.
CAAGUAGCUGGGAUUACAGACGCCCGCCACCACGCCCGGCUAAUUUUUUGUAUUUUUAGUAGAGACGGAGUAUCACCGUGUUAGCCAGGAUGGUCUCGAUCUCCUGACCUCGUGAUCCGCCCGCUUCGGCCUCCCAAAGUGCUGGGAUUACAGGCAUGAGCCAUCGCGCCCGGCCCAGGUGCAUCCUCUUAAACAGCUCCUACCUAGGAGACGAGGUUUUGCCAUGUUGCCAGGCUGGUCUCCAACUUCUGGGAUCAAGCAAUCCUUCCGCUUGAGCCUCCCAAAGGGCUGUGAUUGCAGGCGUGAGCCACCGCGCCUAGUUUAGGUUGAGCAGCGAAAGGGAUAGGGCCCAGUGCUUUCUCUGCGAGGUUCAGUUGGCCUGUCCCUGUCCUAUCACCGUUUGUCACCGUUUGGGGAGCGCCACGGAAUGCACUGUCUCCAAUCGAGAGGUGCACUCGUCGCCCUGGCAACGGAGUCCG